UUAAGCGACUAAGCGUACACGGUGGAUGCCCUGGCAGUCAGAGGCGAUGAAGGGCGUGCUAAUCUGCGAUAAGCGCCGGUAAGGUGAUAUGAACCGUUAUAACCGGCGAUACCCGAAUGGGGAAACCCAGUGUGAUUCGUCACACUAUCAUUAACUGAAUCCAUAGGUUAAUGAGGCGAACCGGGGGAACUGAAACAUCUAAGUACCCCGAGGAAAAGAAAUCAACCGAGAUUCCCCCAGUAGCGGCGAGCGAACGGGGAGGAGCCCAGAGCCUGAAUCAGCAUGUGUGUUAGUGGAAGCGUCUGGAAAGGCGCGCGAUACAGGGUGACAGCCCCGUACACAAAAGCGCAUGUGCUGUGAGCUCGAUGAGUAGGGCGGGACACGUGGUAUCCUGUCUGAAUAUGGGGGGACCAUCCUCCAAGGCUAAAUACUCCUGACUGACCGAUAGUGAACCAGUACCGUGAGGGAAAGGCGAAAAGAACCCCGGCGAGGGGAGUGAAAAAGAACCUGAAACCGUGUACGUACAAGCAGUGGGAGCACCCUUCGGGGUGUGACUGCGUACCUUUUGUAUAAUGGGUCAGCGACUUAUAUUCUGUAGCAAGGUUAACCGUAUAGGGGAGCCGGAGGGAAACCGAGUCUUAACCGGGCGUUAAGUUGCAGGGUAUAGACCCGAAACCCGGUGAUCUAGCCAUGGGCAGGUUGAAGGUUGGGUAACACUAACUGGAGGACCGAACCGACUAAUGUUGAAAAAUUAGCGGAUGACCUGUGGCUGGGGGUGAAAGGCCAAUCAAACCGGGAGAUAGCUGGUUCUCCCCGAAAGCUAUUUAGGUAGCGCCUCGUGAAUUCAUCUCCGGGGGUAGAGCACUGUUUCGGCUAGGGGGCCAUCCCGGCUUACCAACCCGAUGCAAACUGCGAAUACCGGAGAAUGUUAUCACGGGAGACACACGGCGGGUGCUAACGUCCGUCGUGAAGAGGGAAACAACCCAGACCGCCAGCUAAGGUCCCAAAGUCAUGGUUAAGUGGGAAACGAUGUGGGAAGGCCCAGACAGCCAGGAUGUUGGCUUAGAAGCAGCCAUCAUUUAAAGAAAGCGUAAUAGCUCACUGGUCGAGUCGGCCUGCGCGGAAGAUGUAACGGGGCUAAACCAUGCACCGAAGCUGCGGCAGCGAACGUAUCACCCAAGACAACUUUACGGAGUUGACGAUUGACGGAGCGAAGCGACGUCAAAGCGUUCAUUAAAGUCGAGUUGGCUUAGGGAUACGUUCGUUGGGUAGGGGAGCGUUCUGUAAGCCUGUGAAGGUGUGUCGUGAGGCAUGCUGGAGGUAUCAGAAGUGCGAAUGCUGACAUAAGUAACGAUAAAGCGGGUGAAAAGCCCGCUCGCCGGAAGACCAAGGGUUCCUGUCCAACGUUAAUCGGGGCAGGGUGAGUCGACCCCUAAGGCGAGGCCGAAAGGCGUAGUCGAUGGGAAACGGGUUAAUAUUCCCGUACUUGGUGUUACUGCGAAGGGGGGACGGAGAAGGCUAUGUUGGCCGGGCGACGGUUGUCCCGGUUUAAGCGUGUAGGUGUGUGUUCCAGGUAAAUCCGGUUCACUUUAACACUGAGGCGUGACGACGAGGCACUACGGUGCUGAAGCAACAAAUGCCCUGCUUCCAGGAAAAGCCUCUAAGCAUCAGGUAACACGAAAUCGUACCCCAAACCGACACAGGUGGUCAGGUAGAGAAUACCAAGGCGCUUGAGAGAACUCGGGUGAAGGAACUAGGCAAAAUGGUGCCGUAACUUCGGGAGAAGGCACGCUGACACGUAGGUGAAGUGAUUUACUCAUGGAGCUGAAGUCAGUCGAAGAUACCAGCUGGCUGCAACUGUUUAUUAAAAACACAGCACUGUGCAAACACGAAAGUGGACGUAUACGGUGUGACGCCUGCCCGGUGCCGGAAGGUUAAUUGAUGGGGUCAGCGCAAGCGAAGCUCCUGAUCGAAGCCCCGGUAAACGGCGGCCGUAACUAUAACGGUCCUAAGGUAGCGAAAUUCCUUGUCGGGUAAGUUCCGACCUGCACGAAUGGCGUAAUGAUGGCCAGGCUGUCUCCACCCGAGACUCAGUGAAAUUGAACUCGCUGUGAAGAUGCAGUGUACCCGCGGCAAGACGGAAAGACCCCGUGAACCUUUACUAUAGCUUGACACUGAACAUUGAGCCUUGAUGUGUAGGAUAGGUGGGAGGCUUUGAAGUGUGGACGCCAGUCUGCAUGGAGCCGACCUUGAAAUACCACCCUUUAAUGUUUGAUGUUCUAACGUGGACCCGUAAUCCGGGUUGCGGACAGUGUCUGGUGGGUAGUUUGACUGGGGCGGUCUCCUCCUAAAGAGUAACGGAGGAGCACGAAGGUUGGCUAAUCCUGGUCGGACAUCAGGAGGUUAGUGCAAUGGCAUAAGCCAGCUUGACUGCGAGCGUGACGGCGCGAGCAGGUGCGAAAGCAGGUCAUAGUGAUCCGGUGGUUCUGAAUGGAAGGGCCAUCGCUCAACGGAUAAAAGGGUACUCCGGGGAUAACAGGCUGAUACCGCCCAAGAGUUCAUAUCGACGGCGGUGUUUGGCACCUCGAUGUCGGCUCAUCACAUCCUGGGGCUGAAGUAGGUCCCAAGGGUAUGGCUGUUCGCCAUUUAAAGUGGUACGCGAGCUGGGUUUAGAACGUCGUGAGACAGUUCGGUCCCUAUCUGCCGUGGGCGCUGGAGAACUGAGGGGGGCUGCUCCUAGUACGAGAGGACCGGAGUGGACGCAUCACUGGUGUUCGGGUUGUCAUGCCAAUGGCACUGCCCGGUAGCUAAAUGCGGAAGAGAUAAGUGCUGAAAGCAUCUAAGCACGAAACUUGCCCCGAGAUGAGUUCUCCCUGAGACUUAGAGUCUCCUGAAGGAACGUUGAAGACGACGACGUUGAUAGGCCGGGUGUGUAAGCGCAGCGAUGCGUUGAGCUAACCGGUACUAAUGAACCGUGAGGCUUAACCUU
Molecule: ribosomal RNA, 2989 nt
Filed under: Salmonella enterica subsp. enterica serovar Typhimurium str. DT104
Lineage: Bacteria; Pseudomonadati; Pseudomonadota; Gammaproteobacteria; Enterobacterales; Enterobacteriaceae
Description: bacterial LSU rRNA
Rfam family: Bacterial large subunit ribosomal RNA
Source: RNAcentral